RNAcentral lists this ribosomal RNA (462 nucleotides) under Vreelandella stevensii. RNAcentral's name for it is "partial 16S ribosomal RNA". It matches the Rfam family "Bacterial small subunit ribosomal RNA", at positions 338 to 792 of the family's 1533-position model. The record is from RNAcentral. Lineage: Bacteria; Pseudomonadati; Pseudomonadota; Gammaproteobacteria; Oceanospirillales; Halomonadaceae.
CCUACGGGGGGCAGCAGUGGGGAAUAUUGGACAAUGGGGGGAACCCUGAUCCAGCCAUGCCGCGUGUGUGAAGAAGGCCCUCGGGUUGUAAAGCACUUUCAGUGAGGAAGAACGCCUGGUGGUUAAUACCCAUCAGGAAAGACAUCACUCACAGAAGAAGCACCGGCUAACUCCGUGCCAGCAGCCGCGGUAAUACGGAGGGUGCGAGCGUUAAUCGGAAUUACUGGGCGUAAAGCGCGCGUAGGUGGCUUGAUAAGCCGGUUGUGAAAGCCCCGGGCUCAACCUGGGAACGGCAUCCGGAACUGUCAAGCUAGAGUGCAGGAGAGGAAGGUAGAAUUCCCGGUGUAGCGGUGAAAUGCGUAGAGAUCGGGAGGAAUACCAGUGGCGAAGGCGGCCUUCUGGACUGACACUGACACUGAGGUGCGAAAGCGUGGGUAGCAAACAGGAUUAGAUACCCGAGUA